RNAcentral lists this long non-coding RNA (468 nucleotides) under Setaria italica (foxtail millet). RNAcentral describes it as "long non-coding RNA (SITA_LNC007510)". The stretch from base 93 to 197 matches the Rfam family "MIR2275 microRNA precursor family". Lineage: Eukaryota; Viridiplantae; Streptophyta; Magnoliopsida; Poales; Poaceae. The record is from RNAcentral.
AAACCUGCGAGCUUCACUGUCGUCUCGCUUGCCCCUGAUCGUCUCGCAAGUUUUUUUCUUUCUUUCUUUUUCAUGGGCUUUUCUUGGUUCAGGCGCUGAAAGUGAGAGUUGGAGGAAUACAAACUGAUGGGUGCAUGUUUGAAACACGCAUGGUCACUGAUUCAGCUUGUUUUUCUCCAAUAUCUCACCUUCAGUCAAGUGCUUGAUGUCUUGGUGUGGUAUGAGUUUAGUUGUCUGCAUCAUGUGAGCAGCAUUGGCUAUAGGAGCGUGUGUGUCUUCUGCAUGGGCCACUUGGGUUGAGGAUUAGAGGGAACCGAAACCACAUCCAUGGGAGUAGAAACAAGUGGUGAGGGUUCAGUUUCCUCUAAUAUCUCACCUUGAAUGUUCCAUUAUUACAGAAACGAUUUUAGCACUGGCAAAUACAGAACUACACAUACAGUAACAAGCAUUGAAGCAGGCUUAUGGUUC